GACGAACGCUGGCGGCGUGCUUAACACAUGCAAGUCGAACGGAAAGGCCCUGCCCUUGUUGGUUGCUCGAGUGGCGAACGGGUGGGUAACAUGAGAGUAACCUGCCCUUGACUUUUGGAUAACUUCAGCACACUGAGGCUAAUACCGUAUAGGAGCUCCUGCUGCAUUGUGGGGGUUGGAACGUUUCGGCGGUUGGGUAUGUACUCGCGGCUUAUCAGCUUGUUGGUGGGGUGGUGGCUUACGAAGGCUUGGACGGGUAGCCGGCCUGACAGGGAUACCGGCAACAUUGGGACUGAGAUACGGCCCAGACUCGUACGGGAGGCAGCAGUGGGGGAUAUUGCACUAUGGGCGGGAGCCUGGAGCAACGACGCCGCGCGGGGGAUGAACGCCUUCGGGUUGUAAACCGGGCUCGCCUGGGAUGUAGCGUGGGUGACGGUAAUGGGUUAAGAAGCGCCGGCUAACUACGUG
This 468-nucleotide ribosomal RNA is filed under the name uncultured bacterium. RNAcentral's name for it is "partial 16S ribosomal RNA". It matches the Rfam family "Bacterial small subunit ribosomal RNA", at positions 28 to 507 of the family's 1533-position model. The record is from RNAcentral.